CAGCCGCCACGGUAACACGUAGGGUGCGAGCGUUAAUCGGAAUUACUGGGCGUAAAGCGUGCGCAGGCGGUUCGUUAAGACAGAUGUGAAAUCCCCGGGCUUAACCUGGGAACUGCAUUUGUGACUGGCGAGCUAGAGUAUGGCAGAGGGGGGUAGAAUUCCACGUGUAGCAGUGAAAUGCGUAGAGAUGUGGAGGAAUACCGAUGGCGAAGGCAGCCCCCUGGGCCAAUACUGACGCUCAUGCACGAAAGCUAGGGGAGCAAACAGGAUUAGAUACCCCAGUAGUCCCUGUCUCUUAUAC
RNAcentral lists this ribosomal RNA (301 nucleotides) under uncultured bacterium. RNAcentral's name for it is "partial 16S ribosomal RNA". It matches the Rfam family "Bacterial small subunit ribosomal RNA", at positions 509 to 807 of the family's 1533-position model. The record is from RNAcentral.